AAGUUCUAUAGACACA
This 16-nucleotide transfer RNA is filed under the name Leucostethus fraterdanieli (Santa Rita rocket frog). RNAcentral's name for it is "partial tRNA-Phe". Lineage: Eukaryota; Metazoa; Chordata; Amphibia; Anura; Dendrobatidae. The record is from RNAcentral.